CUGCUGCGGGGAGAUCAUGUGCACGUGACCGUCGAUGCCGGCUGCGGUCAGGAUCAGGUGUUCGCCCGAAAUGGCGUCGGUGGCGGCACUGGUGACCAGGUCGGGAUGCACGCCGUGCAUGAUGUUGGGAUUGCCCGACUUGCCGAUGCCGGCGAUCUUGCCGUUCUUGAUGCCCACGUCGGCUUUCACCACGCCCAGCUUGGCGUCGAUGACCGUGACGUUGGUGAUCACCAGGUCCAGCGAACCCUCCUCCGAAGUCAUCGUAUUCGCAAGGCCCAUACCGUCGCG
This 288-nucleotide small RNA is filed under the name uncultured Alistipes sp. RNAcentral's name for it is "5' ureB small RNA". It matches the Rfam family "5' ureB small RNA". The record is from RNAcentral. Lineage: Bacteria; Pseudomonadati; Bacteroidota; Bacteroidia; Bacteroidales; Rikenellaceae.